AUUGAACGCUGGCGGCAGGCCUAACACAUGCAAGUCGAGCGAGCGGCGGACGGGUGAGUAAUGUCUGGGAAACUGCCUGAUGGAGGGGGAUAACUACUGGAAACGGUAGCUACUACCGCAUACCAUCAGAUGUACCCAUAUGGGAUUAGCUUGUGGGUGUGGUAAAGGCUCACCUGGGCGACGAUCCCUAGCUGGUCUGAGAGGAUGAUCAGCCACACUGGACCUGAGACACGGCCCAGACUCCUACGGGAGGCAGCAGUGGGGAAUAUUGCACAAUGGGCGCAAGCCGGAUGCAGCCAUGCCGCGUGUAUGAAGAAGGCCUUCGGGUUGUAAAGUACUUUCAGUGGGGAGGCGUUACCGACAGAAGAAGCACCGGCUAACUCCGUGCCAGCAGCCGCGGUAAUUC
This 406-nucleotide ribosomal RNA is filed under the name uncultured bacterium. Its description in RNAcentral is "partial 16S ribosomal RNA". It matches the Rfam family "Bacterial small subunit ribosomal RNA", at positions 30 to 526 of the family's 1533-position model. The record is from RNAcentral.